ACGAACGCUGGCGGCGUGCCUAAUACAUGCAAGUAGAACGCUGAAGGAGGAGCUUGCUUCUCUGGAUGAGUUGCGAACGGGUGAGUAACGCGUAGGUAACCUGCCUGGUAGCGGGGGAUAACUAUUGGAAACGAUAGCUAAUACCGCAUAAGAGUAGAUGUUGCAUGACAUUUACUUAAAAGGUGCAAUUGCAUCACUACCAGAUGGACCUGCGUUGUAUUAGCUAGUUGGUGAGGUAACGGCUCACCAAGGCAACGAUACAUAGCCGACCUGAGAGGGUGAUCGGCCACACUGGGACUGAGACACGGCCCAGACUCCUACGGGAGGCAGCAGUAGGGAAUCUUCGGCAAUGGACGGAAGUCUGACCGAGCAACGCCGCGUGAGUGAAGAAGGGUUUCGGAUCGUAAAGCUCUGUUGUAAGAGAAGAACGAGUGUGAGAGUGGAAAGUUCACACUGUGACGGUAGCUUACCAGAAAGGGACGGCUAACUACGUG
This 494-nucleotide ribosomal RNA is filed under the name uncultured bacterium. RNAcentral's name for it is "partial 16S ribosomal RNA". It matches the Rfam family "Bacterial small subunit ribosomal RNA", at positions 29 to 507 of the family's 1533-position model. The record is from RNAcentral.